UGGUGGAGGUACCAAAGCUAGGCAAAGAGGCAGCCGCAAAGGCCAUCAAGGAGUGGGGUCAGCCCAAAUCCAAGAUCACUCACCUAGUCUUCUGCACCACCAGCGGUGUUGACAUGCCCGGUGCUGACUACCAACUCACCAAGCUGCUAGGCCUCCGCCCAUCGGUGAAGCGCUUCAUGAUGUACCAACAGGGCUGCUUUGCUGGUGGCACCGUUCUGCGCCUUGCCAAGGACCUUGCCGAGAACAACAAGGGCGCCCGUGUCCUUGUUGUCUGCUCUGAGAUCACUGCUGUUACUUUCAGGGGACCUAGUGACACUCACUUGGACAGCCUUGUUGGGCAGGCACUUUUUGGCGAUGGGGCGGCCGCUGUUAUAGUUGGUUCCGACCCGAUCCCAGGGGUGGAGAAGCCCAUGUUCGAAUUGGUUUCAGCAGCCCAGACAAUCCUCCCCGACAGCGAUGGCGCCAUCGAUGGGCAUCUCCGGGAAGUGGGGCUGACCUUCCACUUACUUAAGGAUGUGCCCGGCCUCAUUUCCAAGAACAUUGAAAAAAGCCUGAAUGAGGCCUUCCAGCCUUUGGGCAUCAAGGACUGGAACUCCAUUUUCUGGAUUGCACACCCUGGUGGGCCUGCAAUCUUGGAUCAAGUUGAGGAAAAAUUAGCCCUAAAGCCCGAGAAGUUACGCUCCACACGACACGUCUUGAGCGAGUAUGGUAACAUGUCAAGUGCUUGCGUGUUGUUUAUUUUGGACGAGAUGAGGAGGAAGUCGGCUGAGGAAGGGCUGAAGACCACGGGUGAGGGGCUGGAAU
RNAcentral lists this long non-coding RNA (804 nucleotides) under Vitis vinifera (wine grape). Its description in RNAcentral is "long non-coding RNA (VVIN_LNC001459)". The record is from RNAcentral. Lineage: Eukaryota; Viridiplantae; Streptophyta; Magnoliopsida; Vitales; Vitaceae.